Molecule: long non-coding RNA, 1279 nt
Organism: Ipomoea triloba (trilobed morning glory)
Lineage: Eukaryota; Viridiplantae; Streptophyta; Magnoliopsida; Solanales; Convolvulaceae
Exons: 4
Source: RefSeq, a predicted model, not a curated record
AAAAAAAAAAAAAACAAACAAACAAAUGGCGCCAUACCCAAAUUUUCGCCCCAAAAUUUCACUAAGUGGCGCCAUACCCAAAUUUUCUUCUUCUAUCUUUCUCUCAAAGUGGCGCAUUCUUCUCCUUGCUUCUCUCUCAACCGCAUAUUUGUUCGUUCUCUUUCUCGCCACCGGGCCCUCUUCUACAUCAAGCUGCUAUGCCGCUAUGCUGCUCUGAAGAUGGCGUGUUCGUCCUCUUUGGGUGGUCCUCCGGUACCCCGGCCUUCAGAGGAGCUUUUGGGGUUUAUGUCGUACUCCGGCGAGGUUUGCGUUUCUCCGUCUGUGCUUUUCUCUCCUAUGUUCUUAUAAUCGUUCACGGUGGUGAUAUUCCCUGCAUCUCCAGCGCUCUUGCCCUAUAAGCUCCGAUAUUUGUUGUUGUUUUUGUGCAAUCAGUUGAAUGUAUUUGUCUGAUUCCUUUGGUUUUUAUAUUUUUGCUGUAUAUUCGAGCGGAAUGCUUCAAUCCAUAAGCUGAAAAUUGUUGCAGUGUUUCUUCAUAGAUUACGGACUUAGGGCUUUUGCGCAAGUUUAUUUCAUGCUUACAUAAUAUGUGAGAUUUCCCUAGCCCCUGUGGAUGAAAUCGGAAUUUACUUUUGUGAGUUACACAAUUCCAUUAGUGCAGUCUUGAUGCUGGCUGUCAUAUGUAGUUUUGGUCACUGAAGCCAACUGAAAAGGAUCCAGGAAGUCUUGGCACGCUGCUUAGAUCAGCAUUGGCAUUUAGAUGGUCGAAUACUGUUCUUGAAGCAUUUGGAAGGGUCAAAACUGUUAGGAACAACUCUGUUUAGAUUUGUUGGUUUUCUUCUUAUGCUACUUGUACACACUUUAAUGUUGCUAAUGCUCAUGUAGUCGUUUUGGUAAAUUUGUUGAGAUACAAUCUGAUCCUCUGUAGGUAAUGAGCAACAUUGUGGAACCUGCACUUGGAUCUUCUUUUGUAGGUAAUGAGCAACAUUGUGCAAAAAACUAACAUCAACUAUUUUUUUUUGUUACAACUUUGACAGGCUAAACAAUCCCAACAUAUGUUUUUGGGUUAGCUUGUUUAUUGGGAUUUAUGUUUUGUAUUAGUAGAAUGUUAGCUACCAGCUCUUAGUUUAUAAUUUAGAAUGCUAAUCAACUCCAAUUUAGAGGAGGAUAUUAGUUAGCCACUCCAUAAUAUUAGUGAUUUUUUUUUUUGAGUGAUGAGGUCUAUUUGUAUUAAACUAAUUAUAUAUAUGAUGGAUUGAAUUUACUAUUAUAUAUUGGGUUA